Notothenia coriiceps (black rockcod) is the source of this 720-nucleotide long non-coding RNA. RefSeq lists it as uncharacterized. The record is from RefSeq and is a predicted model, not a curated record. The transcript has 2 exons. NCBI's taxonomy places the organism in Eukaryota, Metazoa, Chordata, Actinopteri, Perciformes, Nototheniidae.
AUGAUGACACAGGUGAGGCUAAUUAACUGAACACCUGCAACUUGAUUGGCCUUUCGAAUGUUGUCGUCGUAAUUGACAGACGUUUUCAUUUUUCCGUCUUUAGAAGAAAGUAACUGCGGUGACCAUAAACAACGCGGAUAACCUUAUGCAGCACAUACUUUAAAGUCUAGCUUUUGAAGAAAAACUUGAAAUGAAACACUAUAGGCUCACCAGCCGCGAGAUAGGCUAUUGUUAUAAACAAAACUGCUUGUAAAAAUGUGUCCUCCAGUGAAGCCAUGGCUAACUGCUAGCCUGCUAGCUCGAAGACACUUUGAUUCGUUUGGAUUAUUCGGAAGAAAAGAAGGCUUUCAGGAUUAAGCACCUUCUUGACAGGAUUUCCAAACAGGAAAGCUGACAGACAACGCACAUUGAACGGGGAAUUGAGCUGCAAGUGAAGGAAAACAGCAGGCUUUGUACUCCUUGCUGCAGAGAAGAACAUGUUAUUUUUUGUACCGACCUUCAGUCACACCGCUGCCUGGCAUAGCUGAGGCAAUGUGAGGGGAACUCGCAUCUUCAAAGAAAUAAAGCUGGAUUAUUGUUCCGUUCCUAAAGAUGAUGAAAGAUGUCUUCCAUCCAUGUUUAAAGAGUGCUAUGUGAUGAAACUGCAGUAUGAAAUCUCGUAAAGUAUGAGUGUUUUGAGAAUAUUUCCCCAUCUAAAUAUGAUUAAAGUGCUUCAUCCUU